Molecule: ribosomal RNA, 404 nt
Filed under: uncultured dinoflagellate
Lineage: Eukaryota; Dinophyceae
Description: partial small subunit ribosomal RNA
Rfam family: Eukaryotic small subunit ribosomal RNA
Source: RNAcentral
GCUUGUCUCAAAGAUUAAGCCAUGCAUGUCUAAGUGUAAAUACGUCUACACUGUGAAACUGCGAAUGGCUCAUUAAAUCAGUUAUCGUUUAUUUGAUGAUCUCUUGUUACAUGGGUAACUGUGGCAAUUCUAGAGCUAAUACAUGCUGUUUUGCCUGACUCUGUGGUAAGGCUGUGCUUAUUAGUACCAGAACCAACCCAAGUUCUGCUUGGUUGCAUCCUGAUUCAUAAUAAACGAAUGGAUUGCAUGCUUUGGCUGGCAAUGUAGCAUCUAAGUUUCUGACCUAUCAGCUUCCGACGGUAAGGUAUUGGCUUACCGUGGCAAUGACGGGUAACGGAGAAUUAGGGUUUGAUUCCGGAGAGGGAGCCUGAGAAACGGCUACCACAUCUAAGGAAGGCAGCAGG